CCUACGGGAGGCAGCAGUGAGGAAUAUUGGACAAUGGAGGCAACUCUGAUCCAGCCAUGCCGCGUGCAGGAAGACUGCCCUAUGGGUUGUAAACUGCUUUUAUAUAGGAAGAAACCUUGGUACGUGUACCAAGCUGACGGUACUAUAAGAAUAAGGAUCGGCUAACUCCGUGCCAGCAGCCGCGGUAAUACGGAGGAUCCAAGCGUUAUCCGGAAUCAUUGGGUUUAAAGGGUCCGUAGGUGGAUAAUUAAGUCAGAGGUGAAAUCUUGCAGCUCAACUGUAAAAUUGCCUUUGAUACUGGUUAUCUUGAGUUAUUAUGAAGUAGUUAGAAUAUGUAGUGUAGCGGUGAAAUGCAUAGAUAUUACAUAGAAUACCAAUUGCGAAGGCAGAUUACUAAUAAUCAACUGACACUGAUGGACGAAAGCGUGGGUAGCGAACAGGAUUAGAUACCCUGGUAGUCCACGCCGUAAACGAUGGUUACUAGCUGUUUGGACCUUGUGUCUGAGUGGCUAAGCGAAAGUGAUAAGUAACCCACCUGGGGAGUACGUUCGCAAGAAUGAAACUCAAAUGAAUUGACGG
This 579-nucleotide ribosomal RNA is filed under the name uncultured bacterium. RNAcentral's name for it is "bacterial SSU rRNA". It matches the Rfam family "Bacterial small subunit ribosomal RNA", at positions 338 to 916 of the family's 1533-position model. The record is from RNAcentral.